Molecule: long non-coding RNA, 156 nt
Organism: Octopus sinensis (East Asian common octopus)
Lineage: Eukaryota; Metazoa; Mollusca; Cephalopoda; Octopoda; Octopodidae
Exons: 3
Source: RefSeq, a predicted model, not a curated record
UGACAAACAAACAACCAAUUGGUUGUUUAACCUACAAAUUAAACAAACGAUUGAUUAGUUAAUUGGUUGGAUACUUAACCAUAGACUAACAAUAAAGAAGUGGAAUUGAACCAGUGCAUGUGUGAUUCUUAUGAUUAUUGGCUUAAUGCCCUCCCC